GCUGGAGAAAGUAGUUGUUGAAACAAACUGCUAUGCUGAGCAGACAACGUAUAGGUGUUUUUCAGCCUACUGAUACUGAAGGCAUGGGCACCGACAACUUCUUGUUGAUGAUGGCACUUGUUGCUACCCCGUGACCACCAGAAGCUGCGACAAACAACCUCAUGAAGAUUCCGGAAUAACAGAUGGCUUUGUGCUUCAUUUUACAUCCAUACUUAUGCAGACCUGAGCGGUCGGCCUAUUUCAACUGCCUUUUGGACGAGAUGCAAGUCUGGAAGUUGUCACAGGGUGAGCAAAGAGGCUCAGAAGAAUCUGAUGGCUUCCUACAUCUACAACAUCUGAGUAUACGAGAGACUUCGAGAAUGUAAAGUGGGAUAUAUUAAAUGUUACCGUACUCAGCUGGUAGCGCUGUGAUCCCGCUGCCUGUUGCUCCUUACCGCAGGAGCAGCUCAUCCAAAAAUGAUAAGAACACGGAGAAAGGAUAAAAGUCAGGUGGAAAGUACUCAGAACUGGACUUUCUCCAUAGAAGAGGAAUGUUUGAUCGCUUUUAUAUAAAUUGGAUGAACUCUUACAGCAUUGAGGAAAACCAGCUUAAAUUUCUUAUUUCAGGUGCUGUUUUAACGCUGGAUCAGAGUGAAAAGGGCAUAAAAGGGACUGGAAACGAGUGAAUGAGACAAUAAAAACUCAAAUCUACUAUCCAGUUAUUGAAAUACUGGCUGAAUUUGUCAAGUUACUGCCUAGGAACAUAAGUUACAUAAAAGUACACCACCUGGCACACUAAAGAAGCUCCCCAUAGCUG
Polypterus senegalus (gray bichir) is the source of this 796-nucleotide long non-coding RNA. RefSeq lists it as uncharacterized. The transcript is spliced from 3 exons. The record is from RefSeq and is a predicted model, not a curated record. NCBI's taxonomy places the organism in Eukaryota, Metazoa, Chordata, Cladistia, Polypteriformes, Polypteridae.